UUUGCUGGAAAUGGAAUGUGAUGUAGGACUGCAUUGGUUUUAGUAUCUAUCUGCAUAGUUUCUUAAUGCAAUUAUGAAUUUGUAUAUAGGGUCAUCUAUUCUUCUUCGAAGGACUUGGCAUCUUGGGUAAAUAACCCAUGGUAAUAUAAGUAGAAGGUGCAUUUGGUACAUUUUACUGAAUAUUAAUUUAUAUAAGCCAAAUAACUAUUACAAAUGCUAUAUAAGCUAGAUGAGGGUAAUUCAGAUGUUUAGCACCAGCAUUCUCAAGAUUGAUUUAAAUGAUGCUACCUCUAUGCUGCGAAAAUACAAUUCUUCUAUGUACUUGACAAUUGAUAUACUUGCUGCUAUACAUUGUGCAGGGAGGAAAGAGAAAGGAAGGAAGGUGCCUGGUUUGUUGUUGCCUUUGCUCAGUCGUUCGGGAACCAACAGCAAGAGGGACAACGAGAGCCUUUUUCAGACUUGCAAAGUUGGAUCCCUUCUGCACAGCUGCAUUCCAUCGACCAAAACAUUGUACUUACCGCGUUUGUGUUCUUGUAAUAAUGCAGCUUGCGCUGUGCAACUGAGCCGCAGAUGGCAGCACCUGACAAUUGUUACUCGCUUGCCCCCAUUAUAGACACUGCCCUCUGUCAAACUGAAAGUUGAAGAGUUCAGUUCCACAUGAUAAUUGAAUUAUAGAGUUUGGUGCUGCUGCCUGUGCAA
This 699-nucleotide long non-coding RNA is filed under the name Oryza brachyantha (malo sina). Its description in RNAcentral is "long non-coding RNA (OBRA_LNC003262)". Lineage: Eukaryota; Viridiplantae; Streptophyta; Magnoliopsida; Poales; Poaceae. The record is from RNAcentral.